This 1016-nucleotide long non-coding RNA is filed under the name Homo sapiens (human). RNAcentral's name for it is "novel transcript". Lineage: Eukaryota; Metazoa; Chordata; Mammalia; Primates; Hominidae. The record is from RNAcentral.
AGGAGCACCUCACUGUCUCCCUCUGCCCACCCACCUGCACCUGACAGCUGUGGGCUGUGCUCUCAGGGAGGCACCGUCAGAUGCUACCAGACUACAGAGGAGAGCACCCUCAAUCCUGACUGAAGGCAAAGGGAAGAGAGGUCAUCCAGGACAAAAGUACAGAAUGAAAAGAAAAAGCAACUAAGCACGAAAUCUUGGAGAAUGUCCUCAUUGAAGGGUCCUGAGCACCAAGGGUACAGUCAGAAAUGAUGAAUCCAGAAAUGAUGCCCUCCAGAACUUCUGGUGAGGAAGGCACUCAGGAAAAUGCAGCACCCUAUGGAGGCCCAGAAAGGAGGGCAUUCAGGAAGAACACAGUCUGAUGGUGUCAAGUGCAGCGGAGGCUAAGAGCCUCAGUGCCUCCUUCAGAGAUGCGGUGGAUAUUAGCUUCUGUUGUAUCCUUCAUACAGAACCUGGUGCUGAGAGACAGCUUCUUCUUUUUUUUUUUUUCUUUAAACUUUUCUUAAGACUAGUCAAGUACAGUAUCAAGAAGACGGGAAAGAGUAGAACAAGGAAUUGGAUCCGUAACUGACUGUGAACAAUCAAUUGAGGUAACUCAUUACCUUUGAACCAACCUGGGAGGCAGCCUUGUGACUCACCUCAAUCCUCAAUCUUCUCAGCUAGUUCACUUUGGCCUGGCUCAGGGGCUGACCUAGAAUGAUCCUGUCCAGAAGGACCCUGGAUGUUCUUAGAGACACAGACUGCUAGGGCUGGCAGGGACUUUUCAUCCAAUUCCUCUGUGACAGAGGAGGAAGUGGAGGUGCAGAAGGAGAGGUGAGCUGCCUGUGGUCCUUCAGCUUACUAAUGGCAGUGUUAGGACUGGACCUGAGGGCUCUUCCCUCCAGUCCGGCGCUAUUUAUUCCAUGACAGUGCCUCUCAAACUGUGUUCUCACAAGCAGCUAGUGCUCAGGCAGCUGGACUGAGGCCCUGCCUGCCAAAUCAAAUAUUGGAGGUCUUUCUCCAAUGUGCAGAAAAAAAAA